UUGAAGCUCUCAUCUGCUGGCAAGGGGAAGGUCCCACCUCCUUGGUUCCAGCUGAGCUGGUGUGACAGUUCUCCAGCCCCAAAAGGAGAACUAAAGGGAUUCCUCUUGUGCAGGCAGUGAGGGCUUAUAGUGUGAAAAGUGUGGGUCUGAGGAAUGCAGUAAGUUUUCUUGAGAUGGCCGUGGAGCAGUGAAUGCCUGCCCUGGAUAUGGGGGGCUGUUUGGGAGGAUGAAGAGGAGAUGCCCUCUCUCCCAGCAUAGCCUCUGAGCAGAGCUCUUGCAUGCAAGCAGCUCGUGCAGCAAGCUCAGUGAGUGCAGUGUGAGCUAUAAAUAGGCAUUCUAUCACUUCGAGUCAAAUGGUUCUUCCUCACAUUGUGUUUUUCUGAUGGAUUUAAUUAGAAUUUAGAAAUUUAAUUAGAAUUUAGUUGUUUGGGCUCUGCUUGGGUUGUGUUUUGGGAGCCCAGUGCUUGUGGUGGCUCUUGCCAUGGCACCGCUUGGCCACCUGAAGGCACCUGUGCUGCCUGCGUUGUAGCAGCUGCUGAUGUGCCCCAGUAUGUUUCCAGAGCCACCACAGCCCAUGCUGGCAGCACAUGGAACUGGAGCAGGGCUAAGGCCAAGGAGAGUCAUGGGGCUGAUGGAUCCACUCUGCUGUACAGGAACAGAGGGAGCAUGAGAGGGAGGUGGCUAGAAACCAACCACACUGAUGGGUUUGGUCUGCCUGUUCUAAGAAAUAAACCAGAGCCCAUUGGUGAGCAGCUGAUUUUCUGCUGGUUGAAUGAAGAUGCUGUCUGAAGCAGUUUCUUCUUUUCUGCUUGUCGUUUGUUUCCCAUAUGAACACUCUUUGGCAUAAACAUGUCCUGCUGAGUAUUAAGCCUGACAUAGACCUGCCUCCACUGCCACAGUGAUGUUUUGUCCAAACCCAUGUUAUCCAAAACCAGGCUGGCUUGUCAUUCUGAGGUCCCUAUGGAAAGCAGGAGGUUGUGCCCACCAAGUACCAGGUGUCCUCUGGAUUGUCUCAGUGUCCUUGAUCAACUUCUGAUGUCUGCAUAAGGACAACACCCUCCAUUUUGAAGGACUUGGCUGUAGAAAUAAAGUUGAGUAGGUUGUGCUUUGGCUUAAUGAAAAAGGUUAUGCUUUUCUUUCUCUUGUUUUCCUUUGUAAAGUCCAUUGAAUCCAUUUUGCUUUUUCAACAAGGAGUAUAUAUGGUACUCCAGGGGAAAACAAAAAGAUUUUGAGAGGGAGUGGGGGAAGAAAACAAAUCAUUUACUUAAGAAUUGGAGAAGUGUUCUCAAAAAGGGAUUAUGAAAUAUGGUGACAGUAUCUGAAUUGGUAAAGUAGUAUGAGAAACAAUUUUCUUCUCCCAGGAAAGUGUGUAAGAUUUUGAAUCAGAAGGAAUAACUUGAAUUCAGACACUUUUGCUAAUCUGUUAAUUUAUUUGCUUUAUUUGAACAAACUCAUUGCUGUCCUGACAUCUUUUUAAUAGUUCAUCUAGCUUUAAGCAUUUUUAAUUUGAGCUUUAAAUACAUUUUUCUUCCCUUUUGUAAAUAAAUAAAUAAAUAAACACCCCCAGAUAUGAAAGUGACCCUUUCUUCUGAUCAGCUUCCAUUUAAUAGAUGUGCAUUUUUCAAAGGGAGAAUUACAUUAAGCUUUUACUGAUGAGCUUCAUAGACUGGAUGUGGCCAAGAUAUGUGCCUGGCUUAAGUCCUGCUUGUGUUGCUUGUCUUGCCUGUGAGCUGAGUGGAGAAAUAGGAUGAGAUGGUGAAGAGCACAAGAGAGAAAUGUUCCUCAUACUGUUAUAUGCUCCUGUUACUUCCAGAGUUCUGGGACUUCAACCUGACAUGUUCUGGAUUUGAACAUCCCCAAGUCUGGAGGCUGCCUGCUGCCUGGUGUGGGCUUAUCUGUGCAGGAGGCAAGCUGAAGUGCUCUGUGCCGUUGCCGUGCCUUUUAAAUGAGGAGGAGAAGAGGAAAGCUGAAGUCUUCAAUCUGCCUGUUGAACAAAAAUUAUUUGCGGCUGAUGAAUGGCUGAGUAGCAAUAAGCAAAUUCCCCUGAAAGUACAUAGAAUGGUCAGCUGUGGCGCAGCAGCGUUAUACCGGUUGUGGGAUGAUUGACAUAUCUGAAAAAUAAAAGAUGCAAGUGUGGAAGCUUCUGUAAUUGCUCCUGUGUUGGUACAACUCCAGUGGAAUAUGAAUUGACAUUUUUGGUCAAUUAUAAGAGACCUAAGCUGAUCCCUGUGCUGAGGACAAGGUGAUGGGCGGAUGUUAAGCUUCACAUCUACAUUUAGUGUGAUUAAACCUCUGCCACUGUCUGAUUUUGGAGACUGGUGAACAUCAGCCAUUCUUAGAGACAGCAGAGCCAGAGUAACCUGUGGCUGCAGAGGGGAUGCGGGACAGCGCAGCUAAGGAGAGCGCAGUGUGCUUAACCUGCUUUCUGGGCUGACACACAGAAUGGCUUCCACUGAAAGUGUGUAUAGAAUCAGAGGGUUAUUCCACACCUGUAAACUGGACAACCAUCAUGGAAGAUCGGCAUUUACAGGCGGUGCUCACUCAUCCUUCAGCAGCAUCCCUCUCUCUGCCUGGUGCCUAUGGGAUCUGUUCAGGGCACAUCUAUUAGGAACCUGGCCUGCGCAUCCCAGAAGACAGCAAGAGAUGGAUGGUGCUGGCAUGCGGCCACUUCAGAGAACAGAGCUGGAUCAGCCUGCCAGGGACGGGUGCAGACAAAUGGAACCUGCAGGACAAGCACGCCAUUACCUGCUUUGCCAAACUCAUUACAGAGAAGUUGUGAAGUUCCAGUAUGCUGCUCCUGGUCUCUGAGACAAAGCUGUCAGCUGGUUCGUGAAUAAUUCCAGGAAACGUUCAGAGAAAUAGAGCAGUCGUUGGAUUACUUGGUGAAAUGCCUGUAUUCAAGAUACAGGAAGCUAUUUUGGCCUUGGCAAAUUGGUUAAAGUCCGAUUACAAUUUCUAAAGGAGGUAGAUGACCACAGCUUAAGAGUGAAUCCAGGCAGCUCGUUGUCAGCUGGCACCCAGCAUGCUGCAGGUGAAGAUGGAAGCUCCAGCCCCAGGGAGGAAUAAUGCUGACCCCACAUCAGCACCAGCUCCUCACACCCAGCAGGGAUCAGGUGCUCUGGGGCAGAAAGCCUUGAUUCAUGGCAUUCCAAGCUUCAGACAAAGGCGGUUGGAGCACCGUGGUCAUGAACUCCAUCACAGACUGGCUAUCAGCAGGAUGGAGGUGGCUGCAUGCUUUGCAGAUGAAUCGAUAUGGAGGAAGAAAGCCCUAAUUUGCUGCAUCCUUUGCCUUUUCCAGUUAUGACCAAUGGAGACGUUUCAAAACCAUGGCUCAGAGGUAUCUAGCAAAUGCUGAUGGAAGGGAAAUAAGGAAACAAGAGGAGCACAUGGGGCGCUGGCAGCAGAGCUGCAUGUGGUUGUUGUUGGGGGACCGGGGUCGGUUGUGAGCGUCCUUUGUGUAAGGCUGUUCUUGUGUCUGUCCAUCCCAGUUUGUAGGCAGCAGUAAGUGGGGGCUCUGAAUGCUUCUCCCUAGCUGUGUUUUACACCAUUUUAUGGCUCUGGAUUGCAGUGAGUAAGGGGAUUGAAAAUGACUUUACUAUAGUUCAGACUAGAGCUCACAAGAAGUUUGUUAUCAAACUCAUCAGUGUGGUAAUUAGGGGUACUCGAGUGUAUCUAGAUGGAGAAAAUGCAUUUUCUGUAAAAAGAUCAAUUUUUUUUCCAUGGAAAAAAAUUAUUUUCAAGGAAACACAUAGACGUUUCUGUUUUGUCAAGAAGAUUUGAACGAAGCACAUCAUUCCUGCCUGGCGGAUCCAGAUCAAACUAUCUCAGCGUAUUAAGCCAAAUCAAAACAUGUCAUUUUCAGUUAAUUCAGGGUUUCUCUGUACUGCCCAGAGCUGGGGCUCAGUGCUGUGAGCCACCCUUCUGCUGCCCAGGUGCUGUCAGGGCUUUCAUGCCCUCAAGGCAUGGGCCAGGGCUCAGAGGCUGGCUGGGAGGGCAGAGGGAUGGCAGCAGACUGUGGGCUGAUGGUGUUUGGGCUGAACCUGUGCAGGAGAGGUGAGCUGCUGUGCUGCUGCAACAGCUCAACAAGGCAUAGCGGAACCUUUUGAUUUAUGUAUGUAGAAAUGUUCAGGUUGGACAAAGUACAUUAAGGUAAUCAGAUCUACUGAUGAAUGGGAACUUGGGUCUGCAAUCUUGCCUAUGACUUACGUUUAAUUUCCUUUUGCUUUGCACAAAGCUCCUGUGGUGCUGCACCAUGUUGUCUCCUGGGCUGGGCAGCACUGGAUGGACUAGGAGAGACCAUCUAGCUUUUUUAUUUGCAAAAACUGAAUCCCUUUGAGCAUAGCCAAACUCUUCUCUUUGAGAUUCAACAUAGCCAAACUCUUAUUCUUUUUUAACCUGUCCAUCUGCAGAGCUUUCCAAAUACUUCUGUAAGCAUUAGUUUCUGGGAAAAGAUUGGGUUCCAGGCUUGAUUAGUAGGCUUACUUACAGUGGUCAUGGUGCUUGCAGCAUCAUCAUCUUGCAGCACUGCUAGGGAUUGAUAUCUGACAGUCAGAAUAAAUUCUCUGUAUCUGUUAGGCUGAUAGAGUCAGACCUACCACUGUUAGCCUUCUGCAAGUGAAUGAGAGUCUCUGACUCUCCAUGAACGUGCACAAAUAUGAAUCUGAAGCAUCACCAUCCCUGAAUAGGAGUAUGGACUCUGUGAUCCUUAUGGGUCCCUUCCAACUUGGGAUCUUCUAUGAUUCUGUGAUUUUGUAAGUCAAUUGAACAAGUCUUUGUAAUUAAGCAAAAGCUUCUCCUUACAAACAUCAUUUGUAAAUGCUGAUUGCAUUCAACUGAGAUGCGAAACAUCUGUUGACUCUAACCCAAGCUUUGGCCCAGGUGAGGAAAAAAGCUCAUAGAGCUGUUCAUGGAUUUUCCUCACAUUGAAGUGUUAAAGUUGAGAAGGACUGGGAUGACUGCUACCCGCUGGGAUCGCCUGGUAAGAGCGGUGUUGCUUUCUUUUCCCUUCCAGGCCUGCUGAGUGUGAUUAAAGACAGGUCAGGAAGGGCUGCCUGCUAAUAAUUCUAUAGAGGAAAUCUCUUGCAUUAUUCAUCAGACAUAUAUGGCCUAUUCUAAGAGGAGAGAAAAUAGAGAAGCACCUUUGGUUGUAUUGUAACAUCUGCGAGUACAGCUGGUUCUUUUUCUAUGUUCCACUUAUUAUGUGCAAUUUGUAUGUUUUCUUCUCCAUCUUCAGUAAAAAAAAAAGAAAAAAAAAA
This is a non-coding RNA of Meleagris gallopavo (turkey), 5255 nucleotides long. Lineage: Eukaryota; Metazoa; Chordata; Aves; Galliformes; Phasianidae. The record is from RefSeq and is a predicted model, not a curated record.